RNAcentral lists this long non-coding RNA (213 nucleotides) under Carica papaya (papaya). RNAcentral's name for it is "long non-coding RNA (CPAP_LNC001281)". Lineage: Eukaryota; Viridiplantae; Streptophyta; Magnoliopsida; Brassicales; Caricaceae. The record is from RNAcentral.
CUAAGCUAAAAGGAUUCUGUAGUGUUUGCUCAAACCAUGGCCUCCAAUUAGAAUUUGAUGGAUACUAUGCAGUCUCUCGCCUUAGCUACUGCGAUAAAGGCACCUAUCUUGCUCAUAUCCGAACCCUGCCAAAUCUCUUUAUGAAAAUUUGAGAAGCUCAGUCCAUGGAUCUGGAACUCACCAAGAAUCUAGGUAAGUUCACUUAUGAUGAAU